GAAACCUGGUUGAUCCUGCCAGUAGUCAUAUGCUUGUUUCAAGGAUUAAGCCAUGCAAGUCUCAGAGUAAAUGGAUUAACAGUGGGUCUGCAGACGGCUCAUUAAAUCGGUGGCAAUCUACGCGGGGAAGGUGCCUUUUGGGCCCAGUUGGAUAACAAUGGUAACUCCAUUGCUAAUACAUGUCCGAAGAAUCCAACUCGAUUCAACUCCGUGGCCUUAAAACCGCGGGGUCGAGGUGGAUACAAUUGACCGAGAUAAGAACCAACGCUAGCAAUAGCAGCGGUGUGUGGAUGAAACAGGUCAAUCGAGUGAUAGCACACGACUUCAAGUCGGUGCAAGCCCGCAAGAGCUUCUGCCCUAUCAGCUUUUGACGGUAGUGUAGUGGACUACCGUGGCUGUAACGGGUAACGGGGAAUUAGGGUUCGAUUCCGGAGAGGGAGCCUGAGAAACGGCUACCACAUCUAAGGAUGGCAGCAGGUACGCAAAUUGCCCAAUAGCAACACUGCUGAGGCAGCGAAGAGAAAUAGCCUCGACACGUACUUAGUACGUUAGAAGCAAUGGAUGAUAUCUAAACCUGUCAAUGAACACAAUUGGUGGACAAGUCUGGUGCCAGCACCCGCGGUAAUUCCAGCACCAAUAGCGUAUAUUAAUGCUGCUGCUGUUAAAAAGCUCGUAGUUGGAUCCAGAGCUCAGGUUGCAAGGUGGCCCAGUUUGCUGGGCAUCAGCGUACUGCUGGUAUUCAGAAGGCUGGGAUAAACCCCUCGCAUCAAGACCUGUGCUCUAUGAACGGUGGUAAUGGUGCCUUGCAAGUAAUCUCUUCAUCGGGAUGAAAGCGCUUACGCGUACACCAUACGCAUACGGGUCGACCACCGAUGUUACUGUGAACAAACCAGCGUGCCCAAAGCAGGCGUUCGCCGUGAAUGAUAAAGCAUGGAAUAACAAGGGAUCGAUUCUCUCGACUCUUUUUGUUGGUCUCUUAACCCGAGAAGGAAUAAUCAAAACGAAGUUCUUAGCGGUUCUCUUUUGAGUUUCGUCUAAGGCCUCGUUGCGCGGGAUCAAUAGGGACUGCCGGGGUCGUACGUACUCCUACGUCAGAGGUGAAAUUCUUAGAUCGUAGGAAGACGAACUUCUGCGAAAGCAUUCGACAAGAAUGUCUUCAUUAAUCAAGAACGAGAGCGUGGGGAUCCAAGAUGAUCAGAUACCGUCGUAGUCCACUGCUGUAAACGAUGCCGUCUCAGGAUCGAGGGAAGUCAUUUUGGCUCCCACGGCACUCCCCGAACGAGAAAUCAAAGAUUAUGGGUUCAGGGGGGAGUACAUUCGCAAGGCUGAAACUUAAAGGAAUUGACGGAAUGACACCACCAGGCGUGGAGUAUGCGGCUUAAUUUGACUCAACACGGGGAAUUUUACUAGGUCAGGACGAUCUCAAGGAUUGACAGAUUGAGAGCUCUUUCUCGAUGAAUUGUGUGGUGGUGCAUGGCCGCUCCUGGUUGGUGGAGUGAUUUGUCAGGUUGAUUCCGUUAACGAACGAGAUCUCGACCCUUAAAUAGGUGGGCGUGUCGUUGUAGGGGGUGUCUUUUGGCAUCGGCGGCUUGCUGCUUACCCGAGACGCGCACUACUUCUUAAGGGGACUGCGCGCGACUUAUAGCGCGCGGAAGAGCGAGCCAAUAGCAGGUCUGUGAUGCUCCUAAAUGUCCUAGGCUGCACGCGCACUACACUGACGCAUUAAACGAGUUUGAGAGCCUUCCGGCUACCUAUCUUGAAGAGGAUGGGAAAUCUUUUGAACUUGCGUCGUGAUGAGGAUCGAUGAUUGCAAUUAUUCUCCUUGAAUGAGGAAUGCCUAGUAGGCGCAAGUCAUCAGCUUGCACUGAUUACGUCCCUGCCAUUUGUACACACCGCCCGUCGUUGCUACCGAUUGGCUGUGGGAUAGAGCUUGGGAGAGGGAAGCUCGUUCUUGGCAACAAGUUCAGCGCCCGAAUCCAAGCAAUGUUUCUCAGCUAGAGGAAGCAAAAGUCGUAACAAGGUUGCUGUAGGUGAACCUGCAGCAGGAUCAUUAC
This 2054-nucleotide ribosomal RNA is filed under the name Diplonema papillatum. RNAcentral describes it as "SSU rRNA". It matches the Rfam family "Eukaryotic small subunit ribosomal RNA". The record is from RNAcentral. Lineage: Eukaryota; Euglenozoa; Diplonemea; Diplonemida; Diplonemidae.